CGCAUCUGUGCAUGCAGCAUAUCAAUAAGCGGAGGAAAAGAAACUAACAAGGAUUCCCUCAGUAACGGCGAGUGAAGCGGGAAGAGCUCAAAUUUGAAAUCUUGAAAGGUCACCUUUCACGAAUUGUAGUUUAAAGAAGUGUUUUCUGUUACGAUCGUAAUAUAAGUUCUUUGGAAUAGGACAUCAUAGAGGGUGAGAAUCCCGUAUGAUUGACCGAUUAUUGUCAGCUUUGUGAUACACUUUCAAAGAGUCGGAUUGUUUGGGAAUGCAGUCCAAAAUGGGAUGGUAAAUUUCAUCUAAGGCUAAAUAUUGGCGAGAGACCGAUAGCGAACAAGUACCGUGAGGGAAAGAUGAAAAGAACUUUGAAAAGAGAGUUAAAUAGUACGUGAAAUUGUCAAAAGGGAAGCGUUUAACACCAGUGUUGUUUUCUGAAAAUCAACCUCUGUUAGCUUUAUGCAUGUUUGUUUAGACCUAAUCAGCUAUCUUGCAUGUUCUAUUGUUUGCAGUGGUGCACUUUUCAGUUUACAGGUCAACAUCAGUUUUUUUUACCGUAAAAAAGUUAAAGAAAGGUAGCUAAUGGCUCCGGUCGUGAGUGUUAUAGUCCUUUUGCCUCUGCAGUCGGAGAGACUGAGGUCUGCAGUGUAGGCUAUUUGGCUAGAUACUCAGGUGCUAAUGUGAUACCAUUUCAUAAACAACUUGUUGAUUAUGUUUUGUCUAUUGCAUACUCGCUUGUACUAUCAUACCUACGCUUAGGAUGUUGACGAUCAGCUGAGCGCG
Molecule: ribosomal RNA, 777 nt
Filed under: uncultured Neocallimastigales
Lineage: Eukaryota; Fungi; Neocallimastigomycota; Neocallimastigomycetes; Neocallimastigales
Description: partial large subunit ribosomal RNA
Rfam family: Eukaryotic large subunit ribosomal RNA
Source: RNAcentral